AAAUAUCUUCAUGUCCAUGAUACCUUGCCAAGCCUUGAUCAUGCCAUAUCCAAACCUUGAUAAUGUCGUCCAUGUCUCAUGCACAAGGUUUCACAUCAAGUCACAUAAUCCACCCUAUAAAAAAAAAACAAACUAAUUCAUACACAAGUACAAAGUCUAAGAUCCUUGAACCUAUUUGCAUACAGACGAUAUAUACAAGUUAUCAUAAACCAUCCCAUACUUCAAGUUUCAC
This 232-nucleotide long non-coding RNA is filed under the name Lathyrus oleraceus (garden pea). Its description in RNAcentral is "Pisum sativum (pea) long non-coding RNA (PSAT_LNC007877)". Lineage: Eukaryota; Viridiplantae; Streptophyta; Magnoliopsida; Fabales; Fabaceae. The record is from RNAcentral.